CAGAUUCUGAGCUGCUGCGGGAUAUUUUGCAGAAGACUGUGAGGCAUCCUGUGUGUGUGAAGCACCCGCCGUCAGUCAAGUAUGCCUGGUGCUUUCUCUCAGAACUCAUCAAAAAGUAACCUGAAACUUUCACCGUAGACGUGCUGUAUUGCCCAGAAGCCAUCGUGUCGCUGGUCGGGGUCCUGCAGAGGCUGGCUGCCUGCCGGGAGCACAAGCGGGCUCCUGAGGUCUACGUGGCCUUUACCGUCCGCAACCCAGAGACGUGCCAGCUGUUCACCACCGAGCUAGGUGAACCCCCACGCCCACCCGGGCCUACAUGGUGCCCGAGCUGUCCCUGCAGGACUCCAGUGGAAGUGAAAGAACUGGGCGCUGGGGAAAAGCUAGGAUGCUCCACACUCCCACACUAUGCGGGGAACUCGGGCAGAGGCCG
This 430-nucleotide long non-coding RNA is filed under the name Homo sapiens (human). RNAcentral describes it as "non-protein coding lnc-USP17L2-3:2". The record is from RNAcentral. Lineage: Eukaryota; Metazoa; Chordata; Mammalia; Primates; Hominidae.